Molecule: long non-coding RNA, 231 nt
Filed under: Lathyrus oleraceus (garden pea)
Lineage: Eukaryota; Viridiplantae; Streptophyta; Magnoliopsida; Fabales; Fabaceae
Description: Pisum sativum (pea) long non-coding RNA (PSAT_LNC005304)
Source: RNAcentral
GAUGAUUCAUGAUCAUCUAUCAAUAAAUUUUGGAUCAAAGAAGGUUGAAUCGAUAUCAAGUACAUCUAUCAAUGAUUUGAGAUGUGGAAGAAGUCAUCAACCAAGCAAUAAACUCAAUUCAAAACAUCAAGUGAUCAUCAAAAAUAAAAUAAAAAUGAAUUAAAAAAGAUUAAUAAAAGAAAACAAAUGAGAAAAUUUCAAAGAGGGGUCAAAACAUCAAAAAAAAAGUCC